Molecule: non-coding RNA, 1064 nt
Organism: Chiloscyllium plagiosum (whitespotted bambooshark)
Lineage: Eukaryota; Metazoa; Chordata; Chondrichthyes; Orectolobiformes; Hemiscylliidae
Source: RefSeq, a predicted model, not a curated record
UGUUUUUGUUGUACUAAUCCUUGACAUUUGAUCAGAAAGUUGAAGAGAAGGAUGUCACAAAGACAACAAGUGUCCUCAUGACACGAGUAGCAUGGAUGCCGGAAGGGGACCGAUCCUCCAAACAUCCGCAUUUCCUCAUUAGCGUACAUUUGUUAACCCUGUCCACAUCUACAAAGCACAAGUCAGGAGUAGAAUGGAAUAGUCCACACUUGCCUGGAUGAGUGCAGCUCUAACAACACUCAAGUAGCUUGACACCAUCUAGGACAAAGCAGUCUGCUUGAUGGGAACUACAUCCACAAGCAUCCACUCACUCCACUACUCAUGCCUGGUAGCAGCAGUGCAUGCUAUCUACAAGAUGUAUUGCAAAGAUUCACCAAAGAUCGUCAAACAGUAUCUCCUAAACCCUGACUACUUCCAUCUUGAAGGACAAGGGCACCUGAUAUAUGGGAACACCACCACCUUCAAGUUCCCUUCCAAGCCACUCAUCAUCCUGACUUGGAAAUAUAUCGCCAUUUCUUCACUGUCGCUGGGUCAAUAUCAUGAAAUUCCAUCCCGAAUGGAAUUGUGGGUCAACCCACAGCACGUGGACCAACUUCUCAAGGGCAAUCUAUGAAUGGACAAUAAAAGCUGGCAAGUCAGCAACACUCUCAUUCCACAAAUAAGUAAAAAAUGUAAUUUUUAUUUUAUCUGUUGCUAUGAUGUUGGUGUCACUGACUAAACCAGUAUUUGUUGCUAAUUGUCCUUAAGAUGAUGUGCUGAGCUGUUACCUUGAACUGCUAUAGUUUUUGAGAUAUAGGGACAUCACAGUGCUAUUAGGAAGUAAGUUCCAAGAUUUUGACUCACUAACAGUCAAGGAACAGCAAUAUAAUUGCAAGUCAAGAUACUACGUCUAUUUAUCCAGUUAAUCUUAGCCAGCUCUGCUCUUCUGUCUCUCUGUUGUUAACUUUCAUAAGGUUUAAGAUUCUUAUUUGGCACUGAAGUAUGUCAAUUUGUAAUUGAACAUGGAAUUCAAUUGUAUAUGAUCACUAUUUCCUGGCAGAUAGUUUGCUAUGAAGUUAAUAAUA